RNAcentral lists this ribosomal RNA (193 nucleotides) under uncultured Sporosarcina sp. RNAcentral's name for it is "partial 16S ribosomal RNA". It matches the Rfam family "Bacterial small subunit ribosomal RNA", at positions 338 to 524 of the family's 1533-position model. The record is from RNAcentral. Lineage: Bacteria; Bacillati; Bacillota; Bacilli; Caryophanales; Caryophanaceae. RNAcentral also lists the same sequence under 1 other name.
CCUACGGGAGGCAGCAGUAGGGAAUCUUCCACAAUGGACGGAAGUCUGAUGGAGCAACGCCGCGUGAGCGAAGAAGGUCUUCGGAUCGUAAAGCUCUGUUGUAAGGGAAGAAUAAGUACAGUAGUAACUGGCUGUACCUUGACGGUACCUUACGAGAAAGCCACGGCUAACUACGUGCCAGCAGCCGCGUAAU